AAAAGCAUUUGUCUGUUCUGAGUGUGGUCAAAGGUUUGGACGAAAGAGCCACUUGAAAACACACAUAAUAAUUCAUACACGACAAAAAGCAUUUAUCUGUUCUGAGUGUAGUCAAAGGUUUGGACAAAAGGGCACCCUGAACAGACACAUGAUAAUUCAUACAGGACAAAAAGCAUUUGUCUGUUCUGAGUGUGGUCAAAGGUUUGGACUAAAAAGCAACCUGACCAAACACAUGAUAAGGAAGUGGGGCAGGAGAUCAAAGGCAGUAUUUGAGGAGAGGAAAGGUCACCAUCUUGAAGAGAGAGCUCGGAUACAAAGCCAGUAAUGUUAAGGGGGCAGCUUUAGACCCCCGGUCUGGGGCCCACUGCACUCUUGUAGAAGGAAAUUCAAGGCAAAUUAAAAAAAAAAAAAGGUAAAAAGCAUUUGUCUGUUCUGAGU
Molecule: long non-coding RNA, 438 nt
Organism: Thalassophryne amazonica
Lineage: Eukaryota; Metazoa; Chordata; Actinopteri; Batrachoidiformes; Batrachoididae
Exons: 2
Source: RefSeq, a predicted model, not a curated record